Oreochromis niloticus (Nile tilapia) is the source of this 2173-nucleotide long non-coding RNA. RefSeq lists it as uncharacterized. The transcript has 3 exons. The record is from RefSeq and is a predicted model, not a curated record. NCBI's taxonomy places the organism in Eukaryota, Metazoa, Chordata, Actinopteri, Cichliformes, Cichlidae.
UCUCUCACGAACCCUUCAUGCGCACGCUAGCGAGGAAAAAGACACAGCGAUUUACUGAGACCAGGUCGGGAGUUAGAGACAACGCCAUGUCAUCAUUCCUGCGCCAUCUCGCGCUGCUCCGCCUUUCUUUUCUGAGAUCGGUCAGGGUUUUUGUGUUUCCUUUUGUAUCUUCCUUUUGAUGCAUUGCAACGGAUCCUGUAAUCGAUGGCGAGCCAACCCCGUUGAAGGACCAAUUGACUUUGUUCUGUGCUGCACAGCAGAGUGUGGUAGGCCAGCUGCAACAAAACAAAAACACACCACGCCACUUUGAACUUGCUGUUCCCCUUCUUCACACACAUCCCCCUGGACUUACGGACGGUUUAUUUUAAGGACUUUUUACGGACUCUAUACAUCCCACGAACAGGAAGGGAAGUGGGUGUGGGUGGUUGGAUUCAUUUUUCCAGCUUAAUGGUUGUUGCACUUUGUUUACAAAGUCUAUGAAGUUACAAACAAAUGUUGCCAUUUGGAUUUUGGUAAUUGAGAUUGUGGUUCAUUUUGAAUGUGAAUUUGUACAUUUAGAAGGGUGCACCCAGGUAAGGUUUUUUUAAAGUGAUUAAAUGGUAAAUGGCCUGUAUUUAUAUAGCGCUUUACUAGUCCCUAAGGACCCCAAAGCGCUUUACAUAUUCAGUCAUCCACCCAUUCACACACACACUAAGUGUACAAUUCACUUACUGUGAUUGUACCACAGGGUUGUCACUGAGGAAAAUACCGGUACCAAAAAGAGAGACUUUUAUUUAUAAUGUUGUUGUAUGUUUGUAAUUUUCUUUCUUUGGUUUCUCGAUGAGUAAAAAUACAAAGCCGGCAUUUUUCAAAACUCACAGUUGCCUGAGUCUCACUCAGUUUGCCUCUCCUGUACGUAGCCGAACCUACUGGUCCAAAUCAUUGAGCUCUUUUGCAUCAGAUUUGGGUGAAGUACCUUUUGAUCUUAGAGUAUUUGAAACACAUCAGUGUUACAUAUGCCAUAUGUUAAAACAAGAUCUAGGGUGUGAUUAAAGUUAGAAGCUUAAAAACUGAUAAAAGAAGAAACAAAGGUUACUGGUAGUGAUAUUUAUAUCAGAAAUCCCUGCAAAAUCCUCUCCUGCACACACGAGUCUUCAAAAGCAAAAACCAUUAGAAACACUGCUGUUUAAUGCUAAAGGUGUCAUGCGGCGGCUGUGUGAAGGCGAGAGAGGACCCAAAUGCACAGCUCAAGACACACGGGGAUAACUCAAAAGGCAGGUCUUUAUUAAUAGGAACAUAAGUCAUACAAAACUAUACUGCGAGAAACUAGAGCUGAGGCACUAGGAAGACACGAGGGAAUGCACACAACCUAGAGGGACGACGCAACACGGAACAAAGGGAUACUCUGACAUAAAUACACAGAAGGUAAUGAGGGAAGUGGGAACACAUGGGGAACACAGCUGAGGACAAUCACCCAUGACAGAGCGGGGAGGACACGAAACUGAAAAAACUGACACCAAGAUGUGGACCUUAAACACAACACAGAGUACACAGAGAGGAGCACAGAGAGAGGCAGAGAACAAGAAGCAAUACACGAGGGGAUGAGAAGAAUACAGAACAUAAAGGAUGGGAACACGGUACCAGAACAAACACCACAAUGCAAGCACGGACACGGGGGAAUCCAAAUACCAAACCAACAAUCCUAUGAACACAAAGAACAAAAUACAAAACCACAGGAAAACCAAGAACACUGGGUUGAAAUGACCCAGGACCAUGACAAAAGGAUUCUACUCACUGCUUGAAGAAUAAAAUGUGUGUUUCUAUUAAGUGUUGAGAGGGAUUUUCUUUUUUUCAGAUGAUUCAAUUGAUUACCCAGUAAAGCUUGUGUUAAAUUAACUUACAGGUAGAACAAUCAAUCAACUCUGACACAGCUUCACCUAUACAUGGGCACAGCAGAGAGGGAGUUUCACAUUUACUGAUGUAAAACCAACUCAAUACGAUGAUCAAUGGAGGUUGAUGAAUUAUAAGGAAAGAGUAAUUUUAUACCCCACUUCAUCUUAAAAGGUACAAGCUCACAUGUGACAUCAGUAGGAGAGGAGAGAGCAGUUUGAGAUUAAACCUUAAAUAAGAAAUAAUUUCAUGCCAUUAAAGAGGAACUCUUUAAAAAUGACUCAAAGUUUGCAGUUUAUUUACC